GGCCGGGGAACGGGGCGCUUCCUCCGGCUUCCACCUCCUUCUCCCCCGGCGGGGCGCUCGCUCGCUCGCUCGCUCUCUUUCCGCCCCCCCUUUUUCUCCGUCUGGCUCCUUACUCCGGCUGCUCCAUGGGGCCGGAGGAGAGGGGCGAGGAGGCCCCCGCGGAGCCGGUGCGAGCGGGCGGGCGGCUGCCGGAGCCGGCUCCUCUCCGCGUCCCCCCGCCCCCGAGGCCGGUCCUCGUCGGGGCGCUGCCGAUGUUACCGUCCGGCGCUCCCCGGGCGCGGGGAGAAGCUCUGGGGGGACGUCGGGGUGAGUCCUCUUCCUUCCAACGGCUUCGGCCCCCGUCAGUGCCGGGACGGCGGGCUGGCUCCUCGCUGCGGCGCGGGCAGCAGCCGGGUUAUUGGGGUUAUUAGUGUUAUUGUCAUUAUCUCUCUCUUCCCCUGUGGUUCUGUCUCUCUCCACCACUUUCAGACCAGCCCAUUAUAACGCCGGCGAGAGGCGGAGCCAGGACAAAGAUCUGAAAGGGUGGUGGGUGGAGAAGCAAGGUAGCAAAGGUCCCUCCCCUUCCCGGGUAUUUCGAAUGAAGCCGCGGUUCGGCGCGACUCCGCAGAGCCGGGCCCGCCUCCCAGGUGUAAAAUGCAGAAUGACUUAUAGGUGGCAGAGCAGAACCUGUUACAUGCAGUGAUUUAUUUUAAUAGUGCCGUAUAUAGCAACAAGUUGUAAUGUGACAGCUCAACAACCUGUUGGAAAAUAAUACACGGACGGCUUCGCACUUGUGAAUUCCUAAUGAUUUAUGUAGCCUGACGAAGUCGUUUCAGUCCUGGCCCCUCUUUCCUUCUUGUCAUAACUGCACCCGGUGCAAGGGGUAAAAUGGGAACAGGUAGGCAAUGCUGUGGGCUUUUGCUACGAGAGAAUUAGCCAAAACCUUAGCCUUAGUUUCAGUUGUGUUAAUGUGCAUAUAAUAGCGUUGCUUGAUCUCUUCCGGACAGUGCAUUUGUAACCUCUCUCUUGUAACUGCCACUCUCCAAUAAAAUCUUUUAUUGUG
Aquila chrysaetos chrysaetos is the source of this 1042-nucleotide long non-coding RNA. RefSeq lists it as uncharacterized. The record is from RefSeq and is a predicted model, not a curated record. The transcript has 2 exons. Lineage: Eukaryota; Metazoa; Chordata; Aves; Accipitriformes; Accipitridae.